GGAUCGUAACCUAGAGAAGCUACC
This 24-nucleotide unclassified non-coding RNA is filed under the name Dictyostelium discoideum. The record is from RNAcentral. Lineage: Eukaryota; Evosea; Eumycetozoa; Dictyosteliales; Dictyosteliaceae.